Molecule: ribosomal RNA, 578 nt
Filed under: uncultured bacterium
Lineage: Bacteria
Description: bacterial SSU rRNA
Rfam family: Bacterial small subunit ribosomal RNA
Source: RNAcentral
AGUGAACGCUGGCGGUGGGCCUAACACAUGCAAGUCGAACGAGUGGCGGACGGGUGAGGAAUGCAUCGGAAUCUACUCUUUCGUGGGGGAUAACGUAGGGAAACUUACGCUAAUACCGCAUACGAAUGAAUGAGCCGAUGCCCGAUUAGCUAGUUGGCGGGGUAAGAGCCCACCAAGGCGACGAUCGGUAGCUGGUCUGAGAGGAUGAUCAGCCACACUGGAACUGAGACACGGUCCAGACUCCUACGGGAGGCAGCAGUGGGGAAUAUUGGACAAUGGGCGCAAGCCUGAUCCAGCCAUACCGCGUGGGUGAAGAAGGCCUUCGGGUUGUAAAGCCCUUUUGUUGGGAAAGCGGUACCCAAAGAAUAAGCACCGGCUAACUUCGUGCCAGCAGCCGCGGUAAUACGAAGGGUGCAAGCGUUACUCGGAAUUACUGGGCGUAAAGCGUGCGUAGGUGGUUGUUUAAGUCUGUCGUGAAAGCCCUGGGCUCAACCUGGGAAUUGCGAUGGAAACUGGGCGACUAGAGUGUGGCAGAGGAUAGUGGAAUUCCUGGUGUAGCAGUGAAAUGCGUAGAGAUC